This 159-nucleotide ribosomal RNA is filed under the name uncultured bacterium. RNAcentral's name for it is "partial 16S rRNA". It matches the Rfam family "Bacterial small subunit ribosomal RNA", at positions 355 to 507 of the family's 1533-position model. The record is from RNAcentral.
UGGGGAAUUUUGCGCAAUGGGCGAAAGCCUGGGCAGCAACGCCGCGUGGGUGAUGAAGGUCUUCGGAUCGUAAAACCCUGUCGUCAGGGACGAAGGUUGUGGGUUGAAUAGGCCUGCACCUUGACGGUACCUGGAGAGGAAGCCCCGGCUAACUCUGUG